UCGAGAAUCAUUCGCAAUGGGCGAAAGCCUGACGGUGCGACGCCGCGUGGAGGAUGAAGGCCUUAGGGUCGUAAACUCCUGUCAUCAGGGAGGAAUGGCUCAUAUAGUAACUGAUAUGGGUCUUGAUAGUACCUGAAGAGGAAGGGACGGCAAACUUCGUGCCAGCAGCCGCGGUAAUACGAAGGGCCCAAACGUUGUUCGGAUUUACUGGGCGUAAAGGGGCGGUAGGCGGUGGGGGUAGUCAGAGGG
Molecule: ribosomal RNA, 249 nt
Filed under: uncultured bacterium
Lineage: Bacteria
Description: partial 16S ribosomal RNA
Rfam family: Bacterial small subunit ribosomal RNA
Source: RNAcentral